CCCUUAGAUGUUCUGGGCCGCACGCGCGCUACACUGACGAAUGCAACGAGCUUAUAACCUUGGCCGAAAGGUCUGGGUAAUCUCCAAAUUUCGUCGUGAUGGGGAUAGAUUAUUGCAAUUAUUAAUCUUCAACGAGGAAUGUCUAGUAAGCGCAAGUCAUCAGCUUGCGUUGAUUACGUCCCUGCCCUUUGUACACACCGCCCGUCGCUCCUACCGAUUGAAUGGUCCGGUGAAGCGCUCGGACCGCGGCCUCUUGACGGUUUUCCGUCGAUUGGCUGUGGGAAGUUCGUUAAACCUUAUCAUUUAGAGGAAGGAGAANUCGUANCA
Molecule: ribosomal RNA, 327 nt
Filed under: uncultured eukaryote
Lineage: Eukaryota
Description: partial 18S ribosomal RNA
Rfam family: Eukaryotic small subunit ribosomal RNA
Source: RNAcentral